GCCACCGUAGCUCAAUUGGCAGAGCACCAUACUUGUAAUAUGGAUGUUAACGGUUCAAUUCCGUUCGGUGGCU
This 73-nucleotide transfer RNA is filed under the name Chloroflexota bacterium. Its description in RNAcentral is "Chloroflexi bacterium (hot springs metagenome) tRNA-Thr". It matches the Rfam family "tRNA". Rfam says of the family: Transfer RNA (tRNA) molecules are approximately 80 nucleotides in length. Their secondary structure includes four short double-helical elements and three loops (D, anti-codon, and T loops). Lineage: Bacteria; Bacillati; Chloroflexota. The record is from RNAcentral.